GGAAUAGCUCAGUUGGUAGAGCACUGGUCUCCAAAACCAGGUGUCGGGAGUUCGAGUCUCUCUUCC
RNAcentral lists this transfer RNA (66 nucleotides) under human gut metagenome. It matches the Rfam family "tRNA". Rfam says of the family: Transfer RNA (tRNA) molecules are approximately 80 nucleotides in length. The record is from RNAcentral. RNAcentral also lists the same sequence under 2 other names.